AGUUAAAUACUUAGAAAGUAUUAUGUUUUGAAAGCAUAAUUAAGAGGUUUAAAUCCUCUAUUAACUU
This 67-nucleotide transfer RNA is filed under the name Jacobsonina aliena. RNAcentral describes it as "tRNA-Ser". It matches the Rfam family "tRNA". Rfam says of the family: Transfer RNA (tRNA) molecules are approximately 80 nucleotides in length. The record is from RNAcentral. Lineage: Eukaryota; Metazoa; Arthropoda; Insecta; Blattodea; Blattellidae.